ACAACGAACUUGGCCUAACUUCGUGUCACGACACAUGGCACGUCUUCCACUUCAUCCAAUAGGUUCCAUGCACCCGCGUCACUCUCUCUCCUCAAUCUCAAUUCUUCACUCUUCCACCUGCAACCCUUACCCUUCCAUUUCUUCAAUCUCGACUCCUUCAAUUCUCUGUUGAAGUGGAUCAGACAAUAAUUAGGCAAUUUUAGUGAGAGAGUGACUGAUGAAGAAUCAUGAGGUAUGGUAUUAAUUAUAUAAUCAUCAAAUGUCAAUUCUACACUUUUGGGGUUUUCGCUAAUUUAAUUGUUUUUUAGUCAAAUAUCUGUGGAAUUAUCGUUAAUUAUACAAGUUUUUUCUCUUUAAAAUCCAAAUUCUUAAAUAAAUAACCUCCAAAUCGACACAAAUUUUCAAAAUAUCCGUGAAUUGUUAAUCACCCAGAUGAAAAUUUGACGAACUCGAAACCCGGCUUUGAGUCCAAACUUGAAAGAUGAGCAGUCUUCUCGAUAUUUCUCUUAUAGAAUAGUUAUCAACAUGGAAGAUCUGGCAGGACACCCAAAUAGCAAGAAAGCACAAGAUAAUGAUAUGGAGCAUUAAAGAAGUGAGGACAGAGGUAAAACAAAUGAAGAAAAUGAGGAAGAAGAAAGUAAGAUGAACUUCUCUAGGUCGGACGAAAUGAGGCUUAGCAUUGCUCGUCUUCAUGAGGAAAUCAAGAUUUUGAGCUUUCUCCUCGUUUGAAGCGUAAUCAGAGCUCUCCAAUGAAGACUUGAAGGGUACUCUGCGUUUUAUCUCCUCCAUUAAAGCAGCUUCUUGAGGUACUUUUGAAGAUAUUUUUGAACGUUUUCGAGGAAUUCUUAUGAAGGAAUGAUUGACUGAAGGGUACAACUUCUGAAUUGAACUUCUGUUUUCUGUUGGAAAGGCUAGAUUUCAGGAUCAUGUAGCUAUCAUCUAGCUACCAGGCAUGGACUGAAUCUAGAUCUUGUGGAUCUAGAAGGUCAACUCACUUAUUAGCUGCCACGGGAAGAUGAGAUGGAUCUUGAGACUGAUCUUGGCUCCAGAAAGAGUAGAGCUCUAAAGAUGAAGAAACUUCCAAAACUGGUGUCGCAAAGUCUCUGGCAUUUCAGUGGACGAUUGUGAAUUUAGAGCUACCCUUGAAGAUAUGUUGAAUUCGAGCCCAAAAUUUAUAGUUGGCAGCAAGUAUGUAAGGUUGGCAGUUAAUAGUUGAUGUAAAGUAUAGCAGCAAUAUAUAAACCAGAGGAUACAGUAGAAAUUCACAAAGCAACCUUAUGUGCAUGCAUGAGAUGAGUAUUCUUUCCUCUGGAAUGGGAAUUUUAAUUAAAAGAAGCAUUUUCUAAACAAUUUUGUACUAGAUUUGAAAUUUCGUAUUGAUGAUUACAUUGAAGUAUUGAACAUUGAGAUGUAAUUGAAGAUGAAAUUCAACAUUUAUUGUUAAGAUCAUGUUAUCUGUUUGUCACGUUAAAGUACCUUUGUUGCUAAACGGGUAUGUUUCCUAUGUAUGAGGAACAGAUGGAAUUCUGUUAUAACUGGCACUGAAGAUGAAAUUGCAAAUACUGGUGUUGAAAAGUUUCCAGUA
Chenopodium quinoa (quinoa) is the source of this 1585-nucleotide long non-coding RNA. RefSeq lists it as uncharacterized. NCBI's taxonomy places the organism in Eukaryota, Viridiplantae, Streptophyta, Magnoliopsida, Caryophyllales, Amaranthaceae. The transcript is spliced from 8 exons. The record is from RefSeq and is a predicted model, not a curated record.